CAAAGGUUUGGUCCCAGCCUUAUUAUCAAUUAUUACUUAACUUACACAUGCAAGUAUCCGCACCCCAGUGAAAACACCAACAAACCAACAGGAACAAGGAACCAGCAUCAGGCAAAAGCCUACGACGCCCAGCCACGCCACACCCACACGGGCCCCAGCAGUGAUAAAUAUUGACCAUGAGCCACCCCUCGAACCAGUUAAAGUAAACAGAGCCGGCAAAUCCAGUGCCAGCCGCCGCGGUUACACUACUGACUCAAAUUGAUAACACCGGCGUUAAGAGUGACUAAAGCACUAAAAAUUAGAACUGAACCUGCAACCAAGUUGUGACACACUUGUUCCGAGAACCACCAAACGAAAGUCCCUCUAAUAUACCCGCUUGACGCACGAUAGCUGAGAAACAAACUAGGAUUAGAUACCCUACUAUGCCCAGCCGUAAAACAUUAACUCACACUACCCACCCGCCAGAGAAAUACAAGCCCAGCUUGAAACUCAAAGGACUUGACGGUGUCCCACCCAUCUAGAGGAGCCUGUUCUAUAAUCGAUAACCCCCGAUCUACCCGACCUUUCCUAGCCCACAGCCUGUAUACCUCCGUCGCAAGUUAACCCCAUGAGGACACAGUAGACCAGAUAACCUUAUAUUAACACGUCAGGUCAAGGUGCAGCCAAUGGAAAGGCAAGCAAUUGGCUACAAUCUCCCACCGAGCAAACGGAAAUCUGCAUGAAACUCAGCAUGAAGGCGGAUUUAGCAGUAAAAAGAGACCAGAAAGCUCUUUUUAACAAGGCAAUGGGACGCGUACACACCGCCCGUCACCCUCUUCUUUUCUUUUUUCCCCCCCUAAAUUAAACCAGUUUAACCUACAGAAGAGGCAAGUCGUAACACGGUAAGUGUACCGGAAGGUGCACUUGGCUAACA
RNAcentral lists this non-coding RNA (913 nucleotides) under Synapturanus sp. MZUSP 159223. RNAcentral's name for it is "12S ribosomal RNA". It matches the Rfam family "Bacterial small subunit ribosomal RNA". The record is from RNAcentral. Lineage: Eukaryota; Metazoa; Chordata; Amphibia; Anura; Microhylidae.